CCUACGGGAGGCAGCAGUGGGGAAUAUUGGGCAAUGGGGGAAACCCUGACCCAGCAACGCCGCGUGGAGGAAGAAGGUCUUCGGAUCGUAAACUCCUGUCCUAAGAGACGAGCAGGAGACGGUAUCUUAGGAGGAAGCCCCGGCUAACUACGUGCCAGCAGCCGCGGUAAU
This 171-nucleotide ribosomal RNA is filed under the name uncultured rumen bacterium. Its description in RNAcentral is "partial 16S ribosomal RNA". It matches the Rfam family "Bacterial small subunit ribosomal RNA", at positions 338 to 524 of the family's 1533-position model. The record is from RNAcentral.